AUACGUAGGGGGCAAGCGUUAUCCGGAAUCACUGGGCGUAAAGGGUGCGUAGGUGGCUUAUCAAGCCAGAGGUGAAAGGCAUUGGCUCAACCAAUGUAAGCCUUUGGAACUGAUUAGCUUGAGUGCAGGAGAGGUAAGUGGAAUUCCUAGUGUAGAGGUGAAAUUCGUAGAUAUUAGGAGGAACACCGAUGGCGAAGGCAACUCCCCUGGGCCUGUACUGACGCUCAUGC
This 230-nucleotide ribosomal RNA is filed under the name uncultured bacterium. RNAcentral's name for it is "partial 16S ribosomal RNA". It matches the Rfam family "Bacterial small subunit ribosomal RNA", at positions 523 to 752 of the family's 1533-position model. The record is from RNAcentral.